RNAcentral lists this ribosomal RNA (495 nucleotides) under Bacillus sp. (in: firmicutes). RNAcentral's name for it is "bacterial SSU rRNA". It matches the Rfam family "Bacterial small subunit ribosomal RNA", at positions 29 to 507 of the family's 1533-position model. The record is from RNAcentral. Lineage: Bacteria; Bacillati; Bacillota; Bacilli; Caryophanales; Bacillaceae.
ACGAACGCUGGCGGCGUGCCUAAUACAUGCAAGUCGAGCGAAUCAAUAGGAGCUUGCUCCUGUUGGUUAGCGGCGGACGGGUGAGUAACACGUGGGCAACCUGCCUGUAAGACUGGGAUAACUUCGGGAAACCGGAGCUAAUACCGGAUAAUCCUUUUCCUCUCAUGAGGAAAAGCUGAAAGUCGGUUUCGGCUGACACUUACAGAUGGGCCCGCGGCGCAUUAGCUAGUUGGUGAGGUAACGGCUCACCAAGGCGACGAUGCGUAGCCGACCUGAGAGGGUGAUCGGCCACACUGGGACUGAGACACGGCCCAGACUCCUACGGGAGGCAGCAGUAGGGAAUCUUCCACAAUGGACGAAAGUCUGAUGGAGCAACGCCGCGUGAGCGAUGAAGGCCUUCGGGUCGUAAAGCUCUGUUGUUAGGGAAGAACAAGUAUCGGAGUAACUGCCGGUACCUUGACGGUACCUAACCAGAAAGCCACGGCUAACUACGUG